RNAcentral lists this ribosomal RNA (460 nucleotides) under uncultured bacterium. RNAcentral describes it as "partial 16S ribosomal RNA". It matches the Rfam family "Bacterial small subunit ribosomal RNA", at positions 338 to 795 of the family's 1533-position model. The record is from RNAcentral.
CCUACGGGUGGCAGCAGUGAGGAAUAUUGGUCAAUGGACGCAAGUCUGAACCAGCCAUGCCGCGUGCAGGAUGACGGCUCUAUGGGUUGUAAACUUCUUUUGUACGGGGGUAAACGCAGAUACGCGUAUCUGUCUGAAAGUAUCUUACGAAUAAGGAUCGGCUAACUCCGUGCCAGCAGCCGCGGUAAUACGGAGGAUUCAAGCGUUAUCCGGAUUUAUUGGGUUUAAAGGGUGCGUAGGCGGUCGGAUAAGUUAGAGGUGAAAUCCCGGGGCUCAACUUUGGAAUUGCCUUUGAUACUGGUAGGCUAGAGAGUAGUUGAGGUAGGCGGAAUGCAUGGUGUAGCGGUGAAAUGCUUAGAGAUCAUGAAGAACACCGAUUGCGAAGGCAGCUUACCAAGCUACUACUGACGUUGAGGCACGAAAGCGUGGGGAGCAAACAGGAUUAGAUACCCCUGUAGUC